UGGAAUUUAAGUAGGUUUACUUUAAGUACCGUAACACGUUCAAUCGAAUAACUGACUGGUACUGGAAGUCAUUGUCAGUUUUGAUAUGAAAAUUGAGUUGCAACAUGAACUUGAUCACGUUCAGAUGCGGAUUACCUGGCUAUAAAAUUAAACUACUUACCUGGAAUAUUUGCCAUCCCCAAUCCUGGUAAGUUUUAUUACCUGUCAAGUACCACAUGUAGAACAGGGUCUCCAGAAAUUCUGGGCGCAGCAAAUUAUGGGCAUCAUUUGCCUUCACGUACAUGUCUAAUUGAUUAGCAUCACCUUCCAAUGGCUUCUGCAAGGUGAGAGGAAUCGAUCAAUACUGACACAACGCACUCAAAUAUAAAGUGCAAGGAAUGUCGGCUGAACAGCAUAAGUUUGGUAACAAGUGCGCACAAGCUCUUCGGCCAACUUCAUGUGGUCGGAUUGGAGGCCGUUGUGUGCUCCCAGAGCCAAGGUUCCUCCCAAAAAGCAUACCAAAUGGUCCUGCAUAAUCGAGAUAACGGUAAAAAGUUUGAACACACUGCUUCAAAUAUUCAAAUGUCUGUAACCACUGCUUCAACAAGUAUUCAUAGUAACUGUCCCCUCGUGCGCCGAACGAGAUUGUUGACAAUUCUCUAAACGCUCCAGUGUUGGCGUUUAUAAAAAUUGGAACAAGUCCGUCGAAUUUCUUCAACUGAU
Molecule: long non-coding RNA, 702 nt
Organism: Neodiprion virginianus
Lineage: Eukaryota; Metazoa; Arthropoda; Insecta; Hymenoptera; Diprionidae
Exons: 4
Source: RefSeq, a predicted model, not a curated record